Molecule: long non-coding RNA, 507 nt
Organism: Halichondria panicea
Lineage: Eukaryota; Metazoa; Porifera; Demospongiae; Suberitida; Halichondriidae
Exons: 3
Source: RefSeq, a predicted model, not a curated record
AUGAGACACAGAGGAGGGCACUAACUGACGACAAGACGACAAUGUUCGACUGGUGUAAGGAGGGAAUGAAAAGAAAUUACGAUCUCUACUCUCUGACACCAAUGUCAAUCAAACUGACCAAGAGGGGAUGGGUCUUCUUCACUGGGCCUGUGACCGUGGCAACCUGAACACGGUGAAACUACUUGUGAAGAGGGGAGCAGAUGUUAAUAUUGAGGACACAGACAAUCAGACACCCUCUUCAUUAUGCUGUGUCAUGUGAUCAUCAUGCUGUCAUCUCUUAUCUACUACAAGUGGGAUUCCUAUCUCAAGAUGUGAUUGAGAAUCAAGCACCUAUAUAAUUAUAUAGCCUCGAUUCCAGGCCGCACCUUUAGACAAACAAUUCAAUCUAGUUUCAGGUUAUUAAUUUUGCACAUUUCUCAUUAUUGACCAAUUAACUUUCAAGUUUUACAUGAUCAGAAUGUAACUUGGUGAAAUACAUGAGAAACCGUAUAUAGAAAAAAAUUUAAU